AUGCAGGUGGAGUACCGGGCGCUGAUGGAGAACGCAACCUGGCGGCUCGUACCACGCCCACCCGGCGUCAACGUCGUCACCGGAAAGUGGCUGUUUUGCCACAAGUUCAAGGCGGACGGGGCGCUCGAACGGUACAAAGCACGCUGGGUCCUGCGCGGGUUUUCCCAGCGACCUGGCGUGGACUUCGACGAGACGUUCUCUCCCGUCGUCAAGGCCGCCACGAUCCGCGUCGUGCUCACCAUUGCCGCCGCACGCAACUGGCCAGUCCAUCAAAUGGAUGUCAACAACGCCUUCCUCCACGGGCGUCUCGCCGAGCGCGUCUACUGUCAACAACCUGCGGGCUUCGUCGACAAGCACCACCCCGAGCACGUGUGCCUCCUCGACAAGUCGUUGUACGGCCUCAAACAGGCGCCACGCGCGUGGUUCGCCCGGUUC
RNAcentral lists this ribosomal RNA (435 nucleotides) under Triticum aestivum (bread wheat). Its description in RNAcentral is "partial small subunit ribosomal RNA". Lineage: Eukaryota; Viridiplantae; Streptophyta; Magnoliopsida; Poales; Poaceae. The record is from RNAcentral.